GCGAAAUGAAAGUAAAUAACUCUUAUGAGUUUGAUGUGCGAUCUUUUUUUUUUAUAAAAAAGUGCAGCAUGGCCCCAUUCUAACUGUUUACAGUAGGGUGGAGGAAGAGCGUACGCGGUGAGACCCGAAAGAUGGUGAACUAUUCCUGAGCAGGACGAAGCCAGAGGAAACUCUGGUGGAAGUCCGAAGCGGUUCUGACGUGCAAAUCGAUCGUCUGAC
Molecule: ribosomal RNA, 219 nt
Filed under: Meloidogyne exigua
Lineage: Eukaryota; Metazoa; Nematoda; Chromadorea; Rhabditida; Meloidogynidae
Description: partial 28S ribosomal RNA
Rfam family: Eukaryotic large subunit ribosomal RNA
Source: RNAcentral